This 498-nucleotide ribosomal RNA is filed under the name uncultured bacterium. Its description in RNAcentral is "partial 16S ribosomal RNA". It matches the Rfam family "Bacterial small subunit ribosomal RNA", at positions 28 to 507 of the family's 1533-position model. The record is from RNAcentral.
GACGAACGCUGGCGGCGUGCCUAAUACAUGCAAGUCGAACGAGAGCAACCGGUGCUUGCACUGGUCAAUCUAGUGGCGAACGGGUGAGUAACACGUGGGUAACCUGCCCAUCAGAGGGGGAUAACAUCCGGAAACGGAUGCUAAAACCGCAUAGGUCUUCAAACCGCAUGGUUUGAAGAGGAAAAGAGGCGCAAGCUUCUGCUGAUGGAUGGACCCGCGGUGCAUUAGCUAGUUGGUGAGGUAACGGCUCACCAAGGCCGUGAUGCAUAGCCGACCUGAGAGGGUGAUCGGCCACAUUGGGACUGAGACACGGCCCAAACUCCUACGGGAGGCAGCAGUAGGGAAUCUUCCGCAAUGGACGCAAGUCUGACGGAGCAACGCCGCGUGAGUGAAGAAGGUUUUCGGAUCGUAAAACUCUGUUGUUAGAGAAGAACAAGUGCUAGAGUAACUGUUAGCGCCUUGACGGUAGCUAACCAGAAAGCCACGGCUAACUACGUG